AGAACGAACGCUGGCGGCAGGCUUAACACAUGCAAGUCGAACGGUUGUAGCAAUACAGCAGUGGCAGACGGGUGAGUAACACGUGGGAACCUUCCUAGGGGUACGGAACAACUCAGGGAAACUUGAGCUAAUACCGUAUACGUCCGUGAGGAGAAAGAUUUAUCGCCCCUAGACGGGCCCGCGUAGGAUUAGGUAGUUGGUGAGGUAACGGCUCAUCAAGCCUACGAUCCUUAGCUGAUCUGAGAGGAUGAUCAGCCACACUGGGACUGAGACACGGCCCAGACUCCUACGGGAGGCAGCAGUGGGGAAUCUUGGGACAAUGGGCGCAAGCCUGAUCCAG
RNAcentral lists this ribosomal RNA (340 nucleotides) under uncultured soil bacterium. RNAcentral describes it as "bacterial SSU rRNA". It matches the Rfam family "Bacterial small subunit ribosomal RNA", at positions 26 to 391 of the family's 1533-position model. The record is from RNAcentral.